GACGAACGCUGGCGGCGUGCUUAACGCAUGCAAGUCGAACGGAAAGGCCCUGCCUUUGUGGGGUGCUCGAGUGGCGAACGGGGGAGUAACACGUGAGUAACCUGUCCUUGACUUUGGGAUAACUUCAGGAAACUGGGGCUAAUACCGGAUAGGAGCUCCUGCUGCAAGGUGGGGGUUGGAAAGUUUCGGCGGUUGGGGAUGGACUCGCGGCUUAUCAGCUUGUUGGUGGGGUAGUGGCUUACCAAGGCUUUGACGGGUAGCCGGCCUGGGAGGGUGACCGGCCACAUUGGGACUGUGAUACGGCCCAGACUCCUACGCGAGGCAGCAGUGGGGAAUAUUGCACAAUGGGCGGAAGCCUGAUGCAGCAACGCCGCGUGCGGGAUGACGGCCUUCGGGUUGUAAACCGCUUUCGCCUGUGACGAAGCGUGAGUGACGGUAAUGGGUAAAGAAGCACCGGCUAACUACGUG
RNAcentral lists this ribosomal RNA (468 nucleotides) under uncultured bacterium. Its description in RNAcentral is "partial 16S ribosomal RNA". It matches the Rfam family "Bacterial small subunit ribosomal RNA", at positions 28 to 507 of the family's 1533-position model. The record is from RNAcentral.